UUUAUCUAAAAUUCCCUCACUUACGGGAACUUUCUACACACACAACUCCACUUUGAUUCUGAACUUGCAAACCCCAAAUCUGCAGUCAUGAAGCUGCGGCGGUUUCGUUCCUACACAAUUCUCUCUCUUCUCCGGCGGCAUCUCCAUCCGUUCAGACUACCGGAGGUCCGUCGGGUUCACCUCCUCUACAGAUCGGCUCCUCCCUCCAGAACGGGAGUCCUAAUUUGGAAGAGGCAGCGGCGUUUCACCCACCGCUCCGCCUACUCCUCUGCGGUUUCACGCCAGUCACCGGUCCUCCCGCCUCCGUUUACCUCUGAAUCGCUCCGUCGAGUGCUUAGGGAGGCAGCGCCUCCGGCCCGCUCCCGAUUUCCCUUCGUUGGCGCCGACACCGGCUGCCUCGUCGCGCUGCAGCUCCGGCAGCGCCUCCGCUCCAGCUAGGUCUCCCGGAGCUCGUCCUUGCUCGUCCGCCGCCGGACAGCUCUGCCUAUCUAAAGCUAAGCCCUCUUCCCCUACCCCUUUACUUGAUGUUAUUUGAUUGUGGAUUCUUGAUUAAGUCUCGGCGGCCUGUGAAACUGGGGAUUCGGUCAUUGGAAUUGAUCUUUGGUUAUUACAGUUCUGAUUUUGCAUAAGCAUUUGGGAGCAUUUAGCUCACUGUAGUGAAUCUCUACUCUUACACAUGCUUACUGUGGAAAGACUUGAUGGGUUUGCUACUGUUCCAUACUUGAUGUGAAGAUCCUAUGGGAUGAUUAUAUAGUUGGAUUAUAUUAGAUAGUAUGUAUGUAUUUUAAGUAUACAAGUAGAAAUCAUGUUGUAGUGAAGGAAAUUAAGGAAACAGCUACCAUGCUCUAUUCUGGCAGCAUGUUACGAGUCCUGUUUAACCAAGUAAACGACCUCAUUUUCUUGCAAAAUUUUAGCUGAACAUACUUUCAUGUGUCUUCUGUCAUGUGACCAAAAUUCAGCUUCAUCCAAGUUCAAAUAGAUUUAUAGUGAUUUUUCCAAUACAAUCUGCCCUGUUCAGGCUAGUUAGGGGAAAAACGAUUAUAAACUCUAAAUGACUAGGAAUUUCCAGCUCAAAAUUCAUCCCUACAAACUACACAUGCAUGAACUUAUUUUGCCACUGAUUUUGUUAAGUUUCGACUUCCGAGUCUGUCUGAAUGAUUUUUCAAAGUUGGUUUAUUUUCUGUAAAAUCUUGGGACAUUAUAAAAGUUGAAAUGCUUAUGCUUUAACCAUAUUUUUUGGACAAGUGUAUGAAGAUAUGAUUCCUAAUGUGAAAUCUUGAAGGAGAAAUAGUUGUUUUGACUAAUAUAAUGUCUUGUAGGAUAUAUGCAUAAAUAAUAGACAAGAAUUAUGAAAUUAAGUUAGAAAAUAAUGUUUAACAGUAUGAAUUUGAUACUUUAUAUGCAAAAGUGAAAUAUAUAUUGAAGGGUAAUCCUAUCCCAGGAAAUAACAAGGACAAGGAGAAGGAGCAUGAAUAAAGUGAUUCGUGUGUCAAGAGCGUUUUGGAUUUCGAGAUUAGAGGAUCAGACCUAGCUCUUUUAUUGUUCAGCUGCAGCCAGGUCACUAGCCAGUCUUUUGAGUUCGAGUAAUUCUUGGAUAUGUUGGUUGUGGCAUGUAUAGAAAGUGUAAUGUUGUUUGGACGUUCAUUUACUUCGUUAUCCAGGUCGUAUAAAUAUAUAUAGACUUCUGUGAAAUAGGUUUACGGUCCAAUUUCAGACGUUAUAUAGCAGUUUUUCUGAUUGCCAAGUAAUGAAAAAUUAAUUAAUCUAUAAACGAAUAAAGAAGAAUCAAGGAUUUUCUGUUAAGUCAGGAUUGGUACUUAAAGGUGACAUCACUUAUUCGAUUAUUAAAUUAAUCGGGUAAGGGGUGUUACAUGUUUUGGUAUCAGAGCCUAGGUUUAGGCGGUCCUAGGCUUGAGACGUGUUUAGAUGUGUCUAGAAACAUGCCACAUAGGAUUUUGAUUUGAGUCAUUGCUAGUGACCUGAUGUGUAUAUGUUUUCCUGAUGUGUACAUGUUUGCCUUGUUUCAAAACGACAGUUUUUAGUUUCUGAGUGAUACGGAAAACCUUUCUGUAUAAGGUUCGAAAUGGUGAAUUAAGGUUGAAUAGACCGAUGAUCCUGUAGUUAUUUGGCCGGCUAUUGAAAAAAAAAACUUGCAUCUGUUGCCCUUAAAAUUGGCUCUUCAACUUAUAUUGUAUACGGCCAGUCGUCGUCGUGUUCUUGCUUUCUGUCUUCCUCAAGUUUGGCUUGCUCUCGCUUUUUGAGUAGAACUUUUUCAACAACACCACGAAAAAGUCCACUUUGGUUGCUCACUGAUCUGAUCAUCCAUUAAAACUAGGCUUUAAAGCUCCUUUAACUGAUACGGUGUAGUAAUAUGAAUAUGCCAAAUGAGAGUUAUCCUUCGUGAUCUCUUCCUUUGAGAAUUGUUGUUUGGGACCCUCCAACUUGUUUGCCAUUUUGUUGACCCUAUAAGAUAAUUGAAGGAAGUGAUUUUUCCUUGUUAGUACUGUUACCUUGGAGAAAUUAUCUUAUUUGAUUAAUUCCUGAUAACCGUAUCCUUUUGGGUCACCUAAACAUUGAUUGUUUAAUUAUCUACCACCACAGUGUCAUUAUUUUCUAUACCGAGUUUGGAGCCACUUGUAGUUUUACGUGAAACCUGAUUCUGACCCUUAAAACUUGGGAGGCUUUUGGUUGAACCUUCUGACCUUUGUGAUUUAUUGUCUCUAAUGACAAUAAUCCUUUACUUGUGUACUUUUGCCACUAAAUUUUGUUGUUGAAGUUGUUCGAGCUUAUGUCUGUUAUACUGAUAAAGCCUCUUUGAUAGUUGUUUUUAAGAGAUGACACAUUAACCAUAAUAUAUUUGGUUGACCCCUUGGAUAUAAAUUAUUGGCGUUCUUUCCUGCUGAAAUUACACUGAUUCCUUUGCCUAACCCUAUUGUUUAAAUUGUCUUCUAUCUCGAGACCUUUCUGCAACUUGAGAUUUGAGUUGAUGUUUUACCAUUAUCUCCAACGACUCUGCUUCAAUAAUCAUCUCUAUGAGUUGUUUUUCUUUGAACUGUCUUCGAAACAUAUGGAGCUAGCCACGAUAUGAUUCGUAUGUUUCUAUUGAACCUUAACCAUGAUGUUUGUUGAUUUAAGAUUCAGUCAUGCUUUUUGACUUUUAGAUUAUUGACCAUUCGUUUAUGUCCUACAUAUGCUUAAAUUGUUCUGGGAGGUAAUAAAUAUCUGAAUUAUGGAGCAAAGUUUCCAUGUGACUGAGAAAGUAGUUAAGUGGAACUGGCCACUCCACAUAACUCGAAUCUCAGUAGCGUCCUUCUUCGACAAACCAAUGGGUUUCAACUUUGAAAUCAUUUCAUUGGACUUAUUGUCAUUUCAUUCUUACCAUUGUUACCUUUUCCAAGCUUGUUCGGUAAUUAUUUGAUGAAAUCUUUCGAUCAGUCACUCUACUACAAUGUGUUAAAGGGAUCAUCUGUUUUCUCAUCAUUGUUGUUUCCAGUUGAUUUUUCUUUCCAAGGAAUUUGCGGAUCAACUCUUCCAAUUGGUAUCUUCACGUCUUGAUCCGAAUUAUCUUUUGUGAUAUCAUAUUCGUUGAACAUCUGAAAUGGUCAAUCUCUAAAUUUUCUUUUGAAGAUCAAGUUUAACCACUUAUUAUUCACUUGAUGUAUCCCAUAAGUUAAUGAUCCAUUUUUGCCUCAAUAAUUUCCUUCAUCAUGUGAACCGUAUUAACCAAUCUCUGUGUCCUGUCAUCUAAUAUUUCUCCUACAUCUGCACUAGAAAGUCAUGCCUUGAUGGAUUUCUUUGUAUCUGAGUUUGGAUCACCUUGUCCAGGAUCUUCUGUUUUGGCUUACUAGGAGGCAAUAUGUGUCUCCAUACCUAUUUCUUCUGUAAUGUGUAACCCUCUAUAAUUCGAUAUUGUUCUGUACCCUUGCCUAUUGGAGUUAGUGAUAUUUUUGACCAUCUGAUAUUAGUUUCUGCUACCAGAACUUCUAUCAAAGGUAGAUUGAUUGUCUUAUUUGUAAGUUUCUUAUGUUCCUUUCUGAAUAAUCCACCCAAGAUAUCGAGGUAUUUCUAAACUAUCUCUCUGGUGAAUAGUGUCUCUAUGUCUGCAUUUGAACCAGAUGUCUUAUGGCUCUUAUAUUACAAACAUUGCUUUUGGUGAAGUACGGUUUGCAUUUCUCUGUCCUUGAACAAUCCAAUCUCAUUGACAAUCUUUGCGAUUCUUCUCCCCAAUUUAUAUCACGUGUUAACUUCGAAUCUGAGCGGUGAUAAACAUAUAAAUUGUGCUUACUGAGGCUAAUCCUUGAGCCUACGAUGAUCGGAUCUGAAAUUAUCUUGCAAAACUAAUUGUUGGUGAGAGAUUGUGACUUGUGACAAAUUGGAGAUUCAAAACUCUAUGAAUUCAUGUUGGUUUGGUUACUAUGAUUCAAAAUCUUUGAACUACUGUGAUAGUGAUUGGCUUACAGAAACCUCACUACAUGCUUAUGUGAUCAUUUGGGAUUCUGCUAUCAGAUGUUGAUGAGAUUUGAGGAAAAAAAUAUAUAAUUUCCCAUAUCAAUGCCAAUUGUCAUGUUGUCUUUAGUGUGGUGGGCUUGGCUAGGACUAACUUUUGCAUGAAUUGGAUAUAAAAUUACCUUGAGAGAAUAUGAUAUGAAAGCAAUAUUCUGUCUCUUCGAUUCAGGUAUCAAUUUCGAGGACGAAAUUUCCUAAGGGGGGGAGAGUUGUAACGACCCAAAAAUUUCAUAACUUGAAAUUACUUUUAAUUCGAUAGAAGUCGAUGAUUAAAAUUAAUUUAGAAGUCUUAUUUAGACUUGGUGUGUUGGAUUAGUAGGAAAAUAAAAGUAAUUUAAAGAAGAAAAAGAAAUAAGAAAAGAAAAAGAAAUUGGAAAAAGGAAGGAGAUUUUUUUAUCUCAAUUCCCUCACUUACGGGAACUUUCUACACACACAACUCCACUUUGAUUCUGAACUUGCAAACCCCAAAUCUGGAGUCAUGAAGCUGCGGCGGUUUCGUUCCUACACAAUUCUCUCUCUUCUCCGGCGGCAUCUCCAUCCGUUCAGACUACCGGAGGUCCGUCGGGUUCACCUCCUCUACAGAUCGGCUCCUCCCUCCAAAACGGGAGUCCUAAUUUGGAAGAGGCAGCGGCGUUUCACCCACCGCUCCGCCUACUCCUCUGCGGUUUCACGCCAGUCGCCGGUCCUCCCGCCUCCGUUUACCUCUGAAUCGCUCCGUCGAGUGCUCAGGGAGGCAGCGCCUCCGGCCCACUCCCGAUCUCCCUUCGUUGGCGCCGACACCGGCUGCCUCGUCGCGCUGCAGCUCCGGCAGCGCCUCCGCUCCAGCUAGGUCUCCCGGAGCUCGUCCUUGCUCGUCCGCCGCCGGACAGCUCUGCCUAUCUAAAGCUAAGCCCUCUUCCCCUACCCCUUUACUUGAUGUUAUUUGAUUGUGGAUUCUUGAUUAAGUCUCGGCGGCCUGUGAAACUGGGGAUUCGGUCAUUGGAAUUGAUCUUUGGUUAUUACAGUUCUGAUUUUGCAUAAGCAUUUGGGAGCAUUUAGCUCACUGUAGUGAAUCUCUACUCUUACACAUGCUUACUGUGGAAAGACUUGAUGGGUUUGCUACUGUUCCAUACUUGAUGUGAAGAUCCUAUGGGAUGAUUAUAUAGUUGGAUUAUAUUAGAUAGUAUGUAUGUAUUUUAAGUAUACAAGUAGAAAUCAUGUUGUAGUGAAGGAAAUUAAGGAAACAGCUACCAUGCUCUAUUCUGGCAGCAUGUUACGAGUCCUGUUUAACCAAGUAAACGACCUCAUUUUCUUGCAAAAUUUUAGCUGAACAUACUUUCAUGUGUCUUCUGUCAUGUGACCAAAAUUCAGCUUCAUCCAAGUUCAAAUAGAUUUAUAGUGAUUUUUCCAAUACAAUCUGCCCUGUUCAGGCUAGUUAGGGGAAAAACGAUUAUAAACUCUAAAUGACUAGGAAUUUCCAGCUCAAAAUUCAUCCCUACAAACUACACAUGCAUGAACUUAUUUUGCCACUGAUUUUGUUAAGUUUCGACUUCCGAGUCUGUCUGAAUGAUUUUUCAAAGUUGGUUUAUUUUCUGUAAAAUCUUGGGACAUUAUAAAAGUUGAAAUGCUUAUGCUUUAACCAUAUUUUUUGGACAAGUGUAUGAAGAUAUGAUUCCUAAUGUGAAAUCUUGAAGGAGAAAUAGUUGUUUUGACUAAUAUAAUGUCUUGUAGGAUAUAUGCAUAAAUAAUAGACAAGAAUUAUGAAAUUAAGUUAGAAAAUAAUGUUUAACAGUAUGAAUUUGAUACUUUAUAUGCAAAAGUGAAAUAUAUAUUGAAGGGUAAUCCUAUCCCAGGAAAUAACAAGGACAAGGAGAAGGAGCAUGAAUAAAGUGAUUCGUGUGUCAAGAGCGUUUUGGAUUUCGAGGUAGUAUAUUCUACAUUAGGUCUUAAUUCCUGAAUUAAGUCUACGCUAUUGCAUAUAGAAUCUUAUGUGCUUUUAUGUGAUUUGUAUAUGUUAUUUAUGACGUGAAAUAUGUGAAUUUUGAAUAUGCGAUGGCAUUGUGAGAGUUGAAAUUUAAUCUGUUUAUCUGAUCUGAUAUGGUAUGAAAAGAAGUUGUUGAUCUGAUAUGUUAAAGAUUAUUGGAAAUAAGUAAUUUGAUGAGAAAAUGAAUAUAAAUCUGGCUGGAAAGUAAAUGAGAUAAAUGAUAUAUGCCUAUGAAAUGUAUACUUAUAUGAUUUUGCAUAAGCAUUUGGGAGCAUUUAGCUCACUGUAGUGAAUCUCUACUCUUACACAUGCUUACUGUGGAAAGACUUGAUGGGUUUGCUACUGUUCCAUACUUGAUGUGAGGAUCCUAUGGGAUGAUUAUAUAGUUGGAUUAUAUUAGAUAGUAUGUAUGUAUUUUAAGUAUACAAGUAGAAAUGUCUGAUCUAUCUGUAAUGAUGUCUGAUUUGUAUGCGUUGAUGUGUAUAUCAGAAAUUGUCAGAUAUAAAGUAUAUUUGAUUGUGUUUACGCCCCGUGCUUGAGUGUAUUCUGUGGGUACAAUUGGCAUGCCAUAGGACAGCAGCGCUGCAUUAUCUGUGAUCUCUCGUCUUCUGGAUAACCGAAGCGAGGAUCGUCUGUUAUCUGAUGGGCCCCUAUCUGAUCUGUCUGAUAUGCACCCUAUGGGUGAUCUGUUCCCGGGAUUAUCUGUCUGCACCCUAAUGGGUGGUCUGUGCGGCGUCCUCUCGACGACCAUGACCGCGUCCGUAUCUGAUUCUGUUCUGAUCUGGUCCGCAUACCCUGGUCUAUCGCUAAACACUUAAUGGGGCUAUAUGUGUUCUGAUAUGUGAGAACAAUGGUGAUCGCUAUGUGUUUUAUGAUAUGUAAUUGUGUGAAACCUCUGUUAUAACCCUGUUAUAACUCUGAUAUAUCUGGUACAUGAGAGCAUGUUUUGUCAUAUGUGUUUGGAUAUGUGAAACUGUGGUGAUCUGUAUAUGUGUUGGUGUGAUUAUAUGAUAUAAAGUGCUACACGAUAGUGAAUGCCAAGAUAUAACGUUAUAUGAUCAAGACGAUGAUAUGUGAAAAUUAUAUGCUUAUGUGAAAAACGAUAUUAUGUGAUGCUAAAUGAUAUAUUCUGAUGCUAAUAAUCCUCUGAUGCAAAAAGAGUGAAUCUGACAUUGUUUGACGUUGUAUGAAGUUAUGAUGUUGCUCGACACUAGCUACUGAUAAUUGAUCAUGUUUAUUGAUAUACUAUGAGAUUAUAUGAUUAUGCCUCAAGUAAGUCCCAGGAAAUCAAGGGAGGACGAUAUAAAGGUCAGACAUUUAUUGUUGGUUAUUUUGAUAUGUAUAUGGUUAUGAGAAUGUUGGUUCUGGAGAAUAUUCAAGGGUUAAUAUUGUAAACACAUAGGUUGUAUAAUGUUUACUUAACUCCGGAAAUUAGGCUCUAAUGUUGAUUAUACUACCGGGCUUGUUGAAGCUCACCCCUUUCUUUUUCCCCUCUGCAGAUUAGAGGAUCAGACCUAGCUCUUUUAUUGUUCAGCUGCAGCCAGGUCACUAGCCAGUCUUUUGAGUUCGAGUAAUUCUUGGAUAUGUUGGUUGUGGUAUGUAUAGAAAGUGUAAUGUUGUUUGGAAGUUCAUUUACUUCGUUAUCCAGGUCGUAUAAAUAUAUAUAGACUUUUGUGAAACAGGUUUACGGUCCAAUUUCAGACGUUAUAUAGCAGUUUUUCUGAUUGCCAAGUAAUGAAAAA
Salvia splendens (bonfire salvia) is the source of this 8211-nucleotide long non-coding RNA. RefSeq lists it as uncharacterized. The transcript has 2 exons. Lineage: Eukaryota; Viridiplantae; Streptophyta; Magnoliopsida; Lamiales; Lamiaceae. The record is from RefSeq and is a predicted model, not a curated record.